This 2021-nucleotide long non-coding RNA is filed under the name Nicotiana tabacum (common tobacco). RNAcentral describes it as "long non-coding RNA (NTAB_LNC006630)". Lineage: Eukaryota; Viridiplantae; Streptophyta; Magnoliopsida; Solanales; Solanaceae. The record is from RNAcentral.
ACAACCAAACGAUAUAUAUGAACUUCAAUAUCAGAAAUAGUAUGAAUAAACUGGGAUUCAAAUUCAUCGCAAGUUUAAACCUAUGCAUGAUCAUUUCAAUACACCACAAGCAUAGGAAAAUUAGUUACAAAUCUUAGCACAUGAGAUGUUUCAAAUUAUUCAUACUAAAAUCAGAAUUUUAACACGUUUACACUGCUGAACUCCUACAUACACUGAAGUGCUCUAAUCUAAACAUGAAUAAGAACACUUAAACAUUUGAUUUAGUAGCCCUUCAUGCAUCCAAUUUCAUCUUGAAUUCCAUACUUGAACUUCAUCCAUAUAAGUAAACAGAAGCAACGACAAUAGGCAUGGCUAAUUUGAAAUUUCACAAGUUAAACAUGAGUGUUUGAUUAUCAGUGACUUUACAGUAAAAUGGAUGAAACAUCAAUAACAAUAAAUCUAGCUAGUGAGCAAACAUGGCUUAACUUUCAGCUCUGACAAAUAGAUGUAAUCAGCUACUCAUCAGGAAACAAAGAAGAACAUGAUUUUAACAUACAAAUAUCAGAAGCACAUGGAAGCAAGCAUAACCAAAAAUCAGCAUGUUAAUUUUAACAUUUCUGCAUUCAGAGAAAAAUACAUAUGUUAUUUCAAACAUACCUAUCAGCAAAAGGUAGCAACAGAACACAAAAAUUAAAAAAAAUAGAUCUCUGAACUGGAAGAGGGCAACAACAAGAACAGACGCAACAGUAGGAAAUCAACAAGAACCAAAGAACCGACAGCUAAUUUGAAAUCCCCACAGAACUGGAAUAAAACAUUGAAAAUGAAGAGAAAAACAACUUUCUUCUUUUUGUUGUUUUCUAGCUAUAUAUGUCUCCUUGUGAGUGUUUUCAUUUCUGGGAGGAAGAAAGAGUGCAGAGAGAUUUUUAUGUAUAGAAAUCAGUCUGUAAUUGAGAGAAAUGCUGAGUGAUUAACAUUUGUUUGUGAGAAAAUAAGAGGUCCUAUAUGUAGGGAAUAAAAUCUGUCAUGUGCUCCAAAGAAUGAGGGAAUAAUUCUCAGCAUGCCACCCCUAAAUUUCAGGAAAAAAUAUCUUUUUAAAACUGAAUUUGGACAUCUGUCCCUGUUUCUAGAUGGUUAUUUUUAUUUCCUACCCUUUAGCUUCUGAAAAUCAUUUCUUUUGACCCCAAUCUGACCUAAUUCAAUUAUGCAAUUGCACUUUAGUCAUUCCUCUAGAAACUUCUCCAAACAAACAACUCAAAUUCCCUAAUUUUUCAAAUCCCCUUUGACCCCUUUAGCUUUUGUUAAUUACCAAUUAGUGCCUUCUACCCUAACUCUACUAUCUUCCUUCAAUAAGCAGAACCAACGACUACUAAACAAACACUUAUUAAUCUAAAUUAAAAUUAAUCUAUCAAAAACAGCAAACUAGCUAACCUAUCAUUAAGCACUUAUGUAAUUUCAACCAAAACCUUAUUAUCAAUCGACUAAAAUUCAAGUAGGACUGAAUCAAACAAUUAUUUAGAAAGCUAAAACAUUUUUAGGCGAUUAGCUAUUAACCUAGGCAUGCAAUGAAAAACUAAGAGAAAAGGAGAAUUGAUCAGAAUGAGUGAGAAAGAAGGAAAUAAAUUACCUAUUAAUCUUUAAGAGAAAGCGAACAUAGAACUCUGAUAAAAACUCGACGAACAAACACGACUCUGACCAAAAUGCAAUCUCCGAGAUACAACGUGAAUCUUACAUCAGUGGAAAGCUCUUAUCAAGAGCUUUCAAUUGAUGUAAAUUUCAACCGAAAAUAAGGUGAAAUUGGUCGAGUAUUUGAAAAGGGGGCAAGAGGCUAGGGUUCAAUUUUGGAUCUGGAAUUGGAGCAGUUUGGUGGGGGUAUUGGGGAAAUUAGAGGUAGGUUUGUGUUGAGGAUUGAGAGAGGAGUAUAGGGUGUGAAUUUGAGAGGGGUUGGAGUAGCGCCGCCGCCGUAGGCGAUUUUCGGCGGCGGCGGACGGCGAGGGAUGAGAGAGACGAGUUGAGAGAUGAGAAAGGGGAAAAUGGGGUUGGUC